UCUACCCUCCAUAUGUAUAACUUAUAAAAUUUAUAACUUUCAAACUGGACUCCUGGAGUCAUUGAAGCUUUUGAGGAUUUAGGAGGUGCCAGGUGAAAAAGAACUUGAUCAUUGGCUGACAGCGUGCACAGUGGGUUAAAUUGAGAAGCUGUAUGCUGUUGAUGAAUUUGAAGGUGCUGCAUGGUCUACUAAGCUGACUGAUCAAAAUGUAAAACCCAAUUCCUACAACAGGAUAAAGAAAAAGGACUUGAUAAUUGGCUGUUAGCUAGCACAGUGAGAUUACAUUGAGAAGCUGUGUGCAAUUGAUGGGUUUGAAGACGCUGCGAGGUCUACUAAGCUUACUGAUACAUAUAAAACCCAAUUCCUAUAACAAGAUUAAGAUGAUACAUCUUUAAUUUUCAAGACUGACAGAAAUAAAGACAAUUCUGACGAUGUAAGCCGUGCUAUGUUGCAUGUAUCUCACUGGUUUACUGCUAAUAACUUAGUUGUGAACGCAAAGAAAACAAAGUGCG
Molecule: long non-coding RNA, 512 nt
Organism: Pararge aegeria (speckled wood butterfly)
Lineage: Eukaryota; Metazoa; Arthropoda; Insecta; Lepidoptera; Nymphalidae
Exons: 4
Source: RefSeq, a predicted model, not a curated record